This 194-nucleotide ribosomal RNA is filed under the name uncultured bacterium. Its description in RNAcentral is "partial 16S ribosomal RNA". It matches the Rfam family "Bacterial small subunit ribosomal RNA", at positions 338 to 524 of the family's 1533-position model. The record is from RNAcentral.
CCUACGGGAGGCAGCAGUGGGGAAUUUUGGACAAUGGGCGCAAGCCUGAUCCAGCAAUGCCGCGUGCAGGAAGAAGGCCUUCGGGUUGUAAACUGCUUUUGUACGGAGCGAAAAGGCUCUCUCUAAUACAGGGGGUUCAUGACGGUACCGUAAGAAUAAGCACCGGCUAACUACGUGCCAGCAGCCGCGGUAAU